GUCGAGAAUCUUCCCCAAUGGGCGAAAGCCUGAGGGAGCGACGCCGCGUGAGGGAUGAAGGCCCUUUGGGUUGUAAACCUCUGUUAGGGGGAAAGAAAAGCAGUGGAAGCAAUAUGUCCAUUGCCUGACGUUACCCCCAGAGAAAGCUCCGGCCAACUCCGUGCCAGCAGCCGCGGUAAUACGGGGGGAGCAAGCGUUGUCCGGAAUCAUUGGGCGUAAAGGGCGUGUAGGCGGCUUGGCAAGUCGAAUGUGAAAUCCCACGGCUCAACCGUGGAACUGCGUUCGAAACUGCCUUGCUUGAGUGCGGGAGAGGUGUGCGGAAUUCCUGGUGUAGCGGUGGAAUGCGUAGAUAUCAGGAAGAACACCGGUGGCGAAGGCGGCACACUGGCCCAGCACUGACGCUGAGGCGCGAAAGCGUGGGGAGCGAACGGGAUUAGAAACCCGAGUAGUCC
This 452-nucleotide ribosomal RNA is filed under the name uncultured bacterium. Its description in RNAcentral is "partial 16S ribosomal RNA". It matches the Rfam family "Bacterial small subunit ribosomal RNA", at positions 354 to 796 of the family's 1533-position model. The record is from RNAcentral.